Molecule: ribosomal RNA, 496 nt
Filed under: uncultured bacterium
Lineage: Bacteria
Description: partial 16S ribosomal RNA
Rfam family: Bacterial small subunit ribosomal RNA
Source: RNAcentral
GACGAACGCUGGCGGCGUGCCUAAUACAUGCAAGUAGAACGCUGAAGCUUGGUGCUUGCCCCGAGCGGAUGAGUUGCGAACGGGUGAGUAACGCGUAGGUAACCUGCCUGGUAGCGGGGGAUAACUAUUGGAAACGAUAGCUAAUACCGCAUAACAGUAGAUAUCGCAUGAUAGCUACUUGAAAGGUGCAAAUGCACCACUACCAGAUGGACCUGCGUUGUAUUAGCUAGUUGGUGAGGUAACGGCUCACCAAGGCAACGAUACAUAGCCGACCUGAGAGGGUGAUCGGCCACACUGGGACUGAGACACGGCCCAGACUCCUACGGGAGGCAGCAGUAGGGAAUCUUCGGCAAUGGACGGAAGUCUGACCGAGCAACGCCGCGUGAGUGAAGAAGGUUUUCGGAUCGUAAAGCUCUGUUGUAAGAGAAGAACGAGUGUGAGAGUGGAAAGUGCACACUGUGACGGUAUCUUACCAGAAAGGGACGGCUAACUACGU